Homarus americanus (American lobster) is the source of this 794-nucleotide long non-coding RNA. RefSeq lists it as uncharacterized. The transcript has 2 exons. NCBI's taxonomy places the organism in Eukaryota, Metazoa, Arthropoda, Malacostraca, Decapoda, Nephropidae. The record is from RefSeq and is a predicted model, not a curated record.
GUUAAUACUGUUAUUAUUAUCCACUCUAUAUCUGUGUUUUUCUGGCUAAAUAAACUGUUACAAUUCAAUUCAAUGACCACCUCUAGUGGGCGGCCAUUAGGUUAAUUUUGAGUCAAGUUUAAGCAAUAACUAAUCUUGACAUUUGUUUUUUAUACCUGAUGUUACACAACUGCUUGUAUACUUAACACUAACACUUUUACACUAAACCACAUUCAAAUAUUUAUACAAAACACACACACACUUUUAAACAAACACAAGUGCAUAUAAACACACACUUUCAGAGGAAUACACGAUUGUGUAUUUUAAAUCUAUAUUCUUAAUCAGCAUAUAAAAGAGCAUCUUUGUAUGAAAUUUAAACAAAAUCUAUGCCAUGCCCUCAUGUACUCAAACACAAGAUAAGGGGUCAGCAAUUUUGAUUGGGAAUACUGUUACUGGAUGUUUUCUUUUCUGGAAAGUGAACGAUAAAAUGCUUAAAUUAUAAAGUUAGCCGAUAUUCUUGAGAAAAGGCAUAUAAAGAGGAUUUAUAAUUUACGGGCACAGCGUAAUUUAUGUUUUAAAUACUACAGUACUGUACAGUACAUGAACACAAGCAUUAGACAACAUGAUGUUAAGUAACAGAAUACCUGUAUAAGUCUCACCUCCCACAGGUCAGAGGUGUUUCAUCAGUUGCUGUUGAUGGCAUCACAAAUGAGCCUGUCCCACAGGUCAGAGGUGUUUCAUCAGUUUGUAUAGUCGAGUCUUAGCUUGUCAUACCGAGAUGUGUUGUUGGUCCUUGAAACUUCCUGGAAAUAAGA